GUGGGGAAUUUUGCGCAAUGGGGGAAACCCUGACGCAGCAACGCCGCGUGAAGGAAGAAGGUUUUCGGAUCGUAAACUUCUAUCCUUGGUGAAGAUAAUGACGGUAGCCAAGAAGGAAGCCCCGGCUAACUACGUGCCAGCAGCCGCGGUAAUACGUAGGGGGCAAGCGUUGUCCGGAAUGAUUGGGCGUAAAGGGCGCGUAGGCGGCCCGGUAAGUCUGAAGUGAAAGUCCUGCUUUUAAGGUGGGAAUUGCUUUGGAUACUGUCGGGCUUGAGUGCAGGAGAGGUAAGCGGAAUUCCCGGUGUAGCGGUGAAAUGCGUAGAGAUCGGGAGGAACACCAGUGGCGAAGGCGGCUUACUGGACUGUAACUGACGCUGAGGCGCGAAAGUGUGGGGAGCAAACAGGAUUAGAAACCCCGGUAGUCC
RNAcentral lists this ribosomal RNA (425 nucleotides) under uncultured bacterium. Its description in RNAcentral is "partial 16S ribosomal RNA". It matches the Rfam family "Bacterial small subunit ribosomal RNA", at positions 354 to 796 of the family's 1533-position model. The record is from RNAcentral.